Molecule: ribosomal RNA, 255 nt
Filed under: uncultured bacterium
Lineage: Bacteria
Description: partial 16S ribosomal RNA
Rfam family: Bacterial small subunit ribosomal RNA
Source: RNAcentral
GGACAAAGGGCAGCUACACAGCGAUGUGAUGCUAAUCUCCAAACCAUGUCUCAGUUCGGAUCGGAGUCUGCAACUCGACUCCGUGAAGCUGGAUUCGCUAGUAAUCGCGCAUCAGCCAUGGCGCGGUGAAUACGUUCCCGGGCCUUGUACACACCGCCCGUCAAGCCAUGGGAGCCGGGGGUACCUGAAGUCCGUAACCGCGAGGAUCGGCCUAGGGUAAAACUGGUGACUGGGGCUAAGUCGUAACAAGGUAAC